GGCCGUAGCUCAGUGGUAAAGCGUCAGUUUUACAUGCAGAAGGUCCCAGGUUCAAAUUCUGGCAGCGUCC
Podarcis lilfordi (Lilford's wall lizard) is the source of this 70-nucleotide non-coding RNA. The record is from the annotation of a GenBank genome assembly. Lineage: Eukaryota; Metazoa; Chordata; Lepidosauria; Squamata; Lacertidae.